GAUGAAGAACGUAUCGAAAUGCGAUAAGUAAUGUGAAUUGCAGAAUUCAGUGAAUCAUCGAAUCUUUGAACGCACAUUGCGCCCGCCAGUAUUCUGGCGGGCAUGCCUGUUCGAGCGUCAUUUCAACCAUCAAGCCCCAGGCUUGUGUUGGAGCCCUGCGGCUGCCGCAGCCUCCCAAAACCAGUGGCGGGCUCGCUAUCACACCGAGUGCAGUAGUUUACUCUUCGCUCAGGGCGUGUGGCGGGUGCUAGCCGUAAAACCCCCAACUUCUCAAGGUUGACCUCGGAUCAGGUAGGAAUACCCGCUGAACUUAAGCAUAUCAAUAAGCGGAGGA
RNAcentral lists this unclassified non-coding RNA (334 nucleotides) under soil metagenome. RNAcentral describes it as "partial contains 5.8S ribosomal RNA, internal transcribed spacer 2, and large subunit ribosomal RNA". The stretch from base 1 to 120 matches the Rfam family "5.8S ribosomal RNA", at positions 35 to 154 of the family's 154-position model. The record is from RNAcentral.